CAGAUAAACUCCAUGCCAGUUUGGAGACAUUGCAGAUGCCAACCCAGGAAUUUGAGUUCUGGACCCAUCUUUAAUACUCCCUGCAAAACAUUGCUUUCUGUUUGCUAGAUGAAGAGGAUAACUUAUUCGCACCCCCCAAGCUGACCGACGAGGACUUCUCGCCAUUUGGCUCUGGAGGCGGCCUGUUCAGUGGGGGCAAGGGGCUCUUUGAUGAUGAGGACGAGGAGAGUGACCUCUUCACGGAAGCCCCCCAGGAUCAGCAAGCUGGAGCCUCUGUUAAGGAGGGUGAGCUGGGGCUGGGCAGCUGCGUCUCAGUGUGCAGAGUUCCAAAACUGUCUUUCUCACUAGGGGAUGGAACCCUGAGGUUGUUCCCAAGCCUUGUUUCUGUGUUAAGCAGGAAGCUAUUGUUUUUACUGUGGUCCAGUUGAAAGUAAUUCAUCUUCACUAAUUCAUGUCUUGGAAAACACAGUACCAUCUGUAAACCCAUACCACAGUCUUGCCUCUUUGUUAGGAGAGAACUCAUAAAAAGUCAAACAAGAAAAGUACCCUAGAGCAAUGUUGAGGAUGGUUUUCAUUGAAUGAAGUUUAAUUUAAAGAAACAUUUUUAACAUUCUGUAUAUAAGUUGGAGACCAGUAAUUCCCCAACCCAGUGUGCAUUAAAAUCAUCUGUGCAGGUUUUGUUUUUGUUUUUGUUUUUAUAUUUUUAGUAGAGACGGCGU
This 719-nucleotide long non-coding RNA is filed under the name Pan troglodytes (chimpanzee). Its description in RNAcentral is "lncRNA (ENSPTRG00000053955.1)". Lineage: Eukaryota; Metazoa; Chordata; Mammalia; Primates; Hominidae. The record is from RNAcentral.